GCCUUCAGCAGUAGGUAGAGUUGUGUGAAGACCAGAGGGAUGAUAAUGAGGCAAAAGUAAAGAAAUAAAUAAUAUUGAAAAAUAAAAUCAAAUUCAUUCCAUACCCAUCCCAUGACGACCAUCAUUAUUGGCCGAACAUUUCUUUGCCCAUAAUUUUUUCAAAAACAUCUUUUCAAAGGAAUCUAUGAGUAGAAGAAUUCUGUAG
This 205-nucleotide long non-coding RNA is filed under the name Olea europaea (common olive). RNAcentral's name for it is "long non-coding RNA (OEUR_LNC013228)". The record is from RNAcentral. Lineage: Eukaryota; Viridiplantae; Streptophyta; Magnoliopsida; Lamiales; Oleaceae.